This 1082-nucleotide long non-coding RNA is filed under the name Homo sapiens (human). RNAcentral describes it as "long non-coding RNA NONHSAT202250.1". Lineage: Eukaryota; Metazoa; Chordata; Mammalia; Primates; Hominidae. The record is from RNAcentral.
UUCUGAGCUUCUGGGAGUUAAGACCCCAACAUGUAAAUCUGGAGGGAUGCAAUUCAACACGUAAUAUUCCCUAACACAAUAUUUCCAUAACAGUCUGUAGCGUCUUCUUCAGGCUAAGGGAUUGGGGCCUCAUCUAUCAGAGUUGUAAUAAGGAACAAAGGUUGUUGAAGGUAUCCAAAGGGCAAUGUAACCCAAAAAUGUGAACAACUGGUAUAUAUGGAGCAUCAGGAAGAGUAGCUAAUGGAUGUGGAGCUUAAUACCAAGGCGAUGGGUUGAUUUGUGCAGCAAACCACCAUGGUUCACGUUUACCUGUGUACUCCAGCUAUCGUCAACAAACAUGCUUCAACAACAGGAUCCUCACUGUUUGGAAGACAGCCCCUGAGACCCAGAGCAAAUGGGUCAAAGUCUCAGUUACAUCAGUAUAACUACAAAGACAAUAAUUCUUACCUCUCUCACAGGAUCCAGUGAAAAAGUAGUGCUUCUGACUUUAUUGUGUGGAGCAGAUUGUGCUGGGGCAACAGUGAUGUAACCAGACAUCAGGAGGCUGCCAAAGGCCCCUCAUGUGAGAGGUCAUGGAGCCUCACAGGACUGGGUCAGAAGGGGCAGAGUCUGAAAGAAGUGGAUACCAAGUCAUCAGAGCUGGGGUGGGGAUCCAACCCAGGCUGACGAAGCAAGAGAGCCAACAAGGACUCCGUGGUCUCAGACCUGAAACCAGAAUAGCCAUGACAUUUGUGAUGAUAUGCAAGCUGGGAGAAAGACCAGGCUUGGUGGGGAGCGUGAGUGGCUUUCUGGCAGCAGAGUGACAUAAAAGAGUAUUUGAAAUCAGCAAGACUGAAGCUCUACAAAGACUGAUAUUUUAAACAUGGCCACUGUGACCUACUUAUAACCACGUGUCAACUUUAACACCGGAUUCCAAAAACAAGGCACAAUGUGAGAUGAAAUGAUAAUCAAAGUGGAUUACUGGAGGUUUGCUUGGAAUCCUGGUCUUCCAUGUGGACAUCGUUUUUUGGGGACAGCAUCUGGGGCUUCCUUCUGCUACCACAACCAUCCUCAAAGUAUAGUCUGGAGACCUCGGUAGGUGC